GAGGGUGUAGCUCAGCAGUAGAGCACGUGCUUAGCACGCACAAGGUCCUGUGUUCAAUCCCCAGUACCUCCA
Molecule: transfer RNA, 72 nt
Filed under: Camelus bactrianus (Bactrian camel)
Lineage: Eukaryota; Metazoa; Chordata; Mammalia; Artiodactyla; Camelidae
Also listed under: 2 other names
Rfam family: tRNA
About the family: Transfer RNA (tRNA) molecules are approximately 80 nucleotides in length. Their secondary structure includes four short double-helical elements and three loops (D, anti-codon, and T loops). Further hydrogen bonds mediate the characteristic L-shaped molecular structure. tRNAs have two regions of fundamental functional importance: the anti-codon, which is responsible for specific mRNA codon recognition, and the 3' end, to which the tRNAs corresponding amino acid is attached (by aminoacyl-tRNA synthetases). tRNAs cope with the degeneracy of the genetic code in two manners: having more than one tRNA (with a specific anti-codon) for a particular amino acid; and 'wobble' base-pairing, i.e. permitting non-standard base-pairing at the 3rd anti-codon position.
Source: Rfam by way of RNAcentral